GACGAACGCUGGCGGCGUGCCUAAUACAUGCAAGUUGAGCGAUGAAGAUUGGUGCUUGCACCAAUUUGAAGAGCAGCGAACGGGUGAGUAACGCGUGGGGAAUCUGCCUUUGAGCGGGGGACAGCAUUUGGAAACGAAUGCUAAUACCGCAUAACAACUUUAAACAUAAGUUUUAAGUUUGAAAGAUGCAAUUGCAUCACUCAAAGAUGAUCCCGCGUUGUAUUAGCUAGUUGGUGAGGUAAAGGCUCACCAAGGCGAUGAUACAUAGCCGACCUGAGAGGGUGAUCGGCCACAUUGGGACUGAGACACGGCCCAAACUCCUACGGGAGGCAGCAGUAGGGAAUCUUCGGCAAUGGACGAAAGUCUGACCGAGCAACGCCGCGUGAGUGAAGAAGGUUUUCGGAUCGUAAAACUCUGUUGGUAGAGAAGAACGUUGGUGAGAGUGGAAAGCUCAUCAAGUGACGGUAACUACCCAGAAAGGGACGGCUAACUACGUG
RNAcentral lists this ribosomal RNA (497 nucleotides) under uncultured bacterium. RNAcentral describes it as "partial 16S ribosomal RNA". It matches the Rfam family "Bacterial small subunit ribosomal RNA", at positions 28 to 507 of the family's 1533-position model. The record is from RNAcentral.